This 451-nucleotide ribosomal RNA is filed under the name uncultured bacterium. RNAcentral's name for it is "partial 16S ribosomal RNA". It matches the Rfam family "Bacterial small subunit ribosomal RNA", at positions 354 to 796 of the family's 1533-position model. The record is from RNAcentral.
GUGGGGAAUAUUGGACAAUGGGGGGAACCCUGAUCCAGCCAUGCCGCGUGUGUGAAGAAGGCCUUUUGGUUGUAAAGCACUUUAAGCGAGGAGGAGGCUACCGAGAUUAAUACUCUUGGAUAGUGGACGUUACUCGCAGAAUAAGCACCGGCUAACUCUGUGCCAGCAGCCGCGGUAAUACAGAGGGUGCAAGCGUUAAUCGGAUUUACUGGGCGUAAAGCGCGCGUAGGUGGCCAAUUAAGUAAAAUGUGAAAUCCCCGAGCUUAACUUGGGAAGUGCAUUCGAUACUGGUUGGCUAGAGUAUGGGAGAGGAUGGUAGAAUUCCAGGUGUAGCGGUGAAAUGCGUAGAGAUCUGGAGGAAUACCGAUGGCGAAGGCAGCCAUCUGGCCUAAUACUGACACUGAGGUGCGAAAGCAUGGGGAGCAAACAGGAUUAGAAACCCUUGUAGUCC